GAUGAGGGAAUCCCAAGUGCUUGCUCGUAAGAGUAAGCUGUUUUUAUGUCUAAAAAGCAUAGAGAGUAAGGGCUGGGUAAGACGGGUGCCAGCCGCCGCGGUAAUACCUGCAGCUCAAGUGGUGAUCAUUAUUAUUGGGCCUAAAACGUCCGUAGCCGGUUUGGUAAAUGCCUGGGUAAAUCGUGUAGCUUAACUAUACGAAUUCCGGGUAGACUGCCAAACUUGGGACCGGGAGAGGCUAGAGGUACUCCUGGGGUAGAGGUGAAAUUCUGUAAUCCUAGGGGGACCACCAGUGGCGAAGGCGUCUAGCUAGAACGGGUCUGACGGUCAGGGACGAAGCCCUGGGGCGCGAACCGGAUUAGAUACCCGGGUAGUCCAGGGUGUAAACGCUGCUUGCUUGAUGUUAGUUGGGCUCCGAGCCCAAUUAGUGUCGGAGAGAAGUUGUUAAGCAAGCUGCCUGGGAAGUACGGUCGCAAGACUGAAA
Molecule: ribosomal RNA, 484 nt
Filed under: uncultured archaeon
Lineage: Archaea
Description: bacterial SSU rRNA
Rfam family: Archaeal small subunit ribosomal RNA
Source: RNAcentral